RNAcentral lists this long non-coding RNA (1099 nucleotides) under Musa acuminata (dwarf banana). Its description in RNAcentral is "long non-coding RNA (MACU_LNC004848)". Lineage: Eukaryota; Viridiplantae; Streptophyta; Magnoliopsida; Zingiberales; Musaceae. The record is from RNAcentral.
UCUCAGUUCAUUCAUUUCUUGAUAACCUCUGUUUUGCUGCCAUAUUGAAGUUAUAUACAUAAUGAUGAUAUGCUCUUAUAGAUGUCACAUGUUCAAAACAGGGCUUUAAUUUUGAUAUUUACAAAUUGUUAGGACUGUUUGAUAAGUCCCUGCUUCAUCAUAUCCAUGUCUCUCCUAACUUAACUUAUAGGAUAAUGGUUAUCCUACUUUACAUCAAUCAUCAUCAUACAAUUUUCUGUUUGUAGCAUCAGUAUGCUGACUCUGAACUAUUCAACAAAUUAAGUGAUCAGAAUUUGAAGACUGGUUCAUUCUUUAUUGAACCUUUGGUAAAUGAUUUCUUUUAGCAUACAGUCAUGAUUUAUGUCUUGUCAGCAUUUCUGUUAUGUGAUCCAUCCACUCAUAGUCGGAUUCUUUUCCAUGUGUGGCUUCUCUCUGUUGACUCUAAAUAAAUGUACAACAAAGAAAGAAUUAUAAGUAUAAUUCUUUCUUGAAUAAUAGUAAUAAGGUAUUAUUAGUCUAAAAUCAAAUAGUAGAAAAGAAAACUAAGAUGAAAAAAAAAUUAUUGAACUUCUAAAAAAAAUAUUUACAAAUCUUGAAUUAAUGUACAUGUUGAUAUCACAAAUUUAUAAAUAUAAGAAGUGGGGUGUAUACCUCAACUGGUGACGCCGAUGGAAGAAGGGAGAACCAUUGGGAAGUAUUAGUUGGCCCAGGGGAUAAAAGCAUGGUGCUUCCUCCGAUGCUUGGUCCUGUUAAAAGCUGGGUUUGGAGUUGUUGCUAUUGAUGCCAACCUUUUUUCAUCAUUGCUGGAUACUCAGUUGUCAUCGGAAAGGAGUGUGUUUCAGAUGAUGUUUAUCAGUAUGAUUCUCGGGUUAAUAGGUAUGUGAUAUGAUUCUUAAACAUAUUAUGUGCAUGUUUUUCUUAUUCUAAAUAAACAGUGACUAUUUUUUAACUGAAUUCAUUUAUCUUUCCUCCGUGUAUUAUGAUUGUUGAUAUCAGCACAAGUAAAUAAUAAUUGAGAGUGAUAAAUAUAUUUAAUCUCAAUCAGGAACCAAGAGCUUAUAAGUUCAUCAGAUCGUCCUUAACUUUAGAGAUGUUUUUU